AGAGUUUGAUUUUGGCUCAGGAUGAACGCCGGCGGUGUGCCUAAUACAUGCAAGUCGUACGCACUGGCCCAACUGAUUGAUGGUGCUUGCACCUGAUUGACGUUGGAUCACCAGUGAGUGGCGGACGGGUGAGUAACACGUAGGUAACCUGCCUCGGAGCGGGGGAUAACAUUUGGAAACAGAUGCUAAUACCGCAUAACAACAAAAGCCACAUGGCUUUUGUUUGAAAGAUGGCUUUGGCUAUCACUCUGGGAUGGACCUGCGGUGCAUUAGCUAGUUGGUAAGGUAACGGCUUACCAAGGCAAUGAUGCAUAGCCGAGUUGAGAGACUGAUCGGCCACAAUGGAACUGAGACACGGUCCAUACUCCUACGGGAGGCAGCAGUAGGGAAUCUUCCACAAUGGGCGCAAGCCUGAUGGAGCAACACCGCGUGAGUGAAGAAGGGUUUCGGCUCGUAAAGCUCUGUUGUUGGAGAAGAACGUGCGUGAGAGUAACUGUUCACGCAGUGACGGUAUCCAACCAGAAAGUCACGGCUAACUACGUGCCAGCAGCCGCGGUAAUACGUAGGUGGCAAGCGUUAUCCGGAUUUAUUGGGCGUAAAGCGAGCGCAGGCGGUUGCUUAGGUCUGAUGUGAAAGCCUUCGGCUUAACCGAAGAAGUGCAUCGGAAACCGGGCGACUUGAGUGCAGAAGAGGACAGUGGAACUCUAUGUGUAGCGGUGGAAUGCGUAGAUAUAUGGAAGAACACCAGUGGCGAAGGCGGCUGUCUGGUCUGCAACUGACGCUGAGGCUCGAAAGCAUGGGUAGCGAACAGGAUUAGAUACCCUGGUAGUCCAUGCCGUAAACGAUGAGUGAUAGGGGUUGGAGGGUUUCCGCCCUUCAGUGCCGGAGCUAACGCAUUAAGCACUCCGCAUGGGGAGUACGACCGCAAGGUUGAAACUCAAAGGAAUUGACGGGGGCCCGCACAAGCGGUGGAGCAUGUGGUUUAAUUCGAAGCUACGCGAAGAACCUUACCAGGUCUUGACAUCUUGCGCUAACCUUAGAGAUAAGGCGUUCCCUUCGGGGACGCAAUGACAGGUGGUGCAUGGUCGUCGUCAGCUCGUGUCGUGAGAUGUUGGGUUAAGUCCCGCAACGAGCGCAACCCUUGUUACUAGUUGCCAGCAUUAAGUUGGGCACUCUAGUGAGACUGCCGGUGACAAACCGGAGGAAGGUGGGGACGACGUCAGAUCAUCAUGCCCCUUAUGACCUGGGCUACACACGUGCCACAAUGGACGGUACAACGAGUCGCAAGCUCGCGAGAGUAAGCUAAUCUCUUAAAGCCGUUCUCAGUUCGGACUGUAGGCUGCAACUCGCCUACACGAAGUCGGAAUCGCUAGUAAUCGCGGAUCAGCAUGCCGCGGUGAAAACGUUCCCGGGCCGUGUACACACCGCCCGUCA
RNAcentral lists this ribosomal RNA (1434 nucleotides) under uncultured bacterium. RNAcentral's name for it is "16S ribosomal RNA". It matches the Rfam family "Bacterial small subunit ribosomal RNA". The record is from RNAcentral.